AUCGAACGCUGGCGGCAUGCCUUACACAUGCAAAUCGAACGGUAACGGGCCUUCGGGUGCCGACGAGUGGCGAACGGGUGAGUAAUACAUCGGAACGUGCCCGAUCGUGGGGGAUAACGAGGCGAAAGCUUUGCUAAUACCGCAUACGAUCUACGGAUGAAAGCAGGGGACCGCAAGGCCUUGCGCGGACGGAGCGGCCGAUGGCAGAUUAGGUAGUUGGUGGGAUAAAAGCUUACCAAGCCGACGAUCUGUAGCUGGUCUGAGAGGAUGAUCAGCCACACUGGGACUGAGACACGGCCCAGACUCCUACGGGAGGCAGCAGUGGGGAAUUUUGGACAAUGGGCGCAAGCCUGAUCCAGCCAUGCCGCGUGCAGGAUGAAGGCCUUCGGGUUGUAAACUGAUUUUGUACGGAACGAAAAGCCUUCUUUUAAUACAGGAGGGUCAUGACGGUACCGUAAGAAUAAGCACCGGCUAACUACGUG
Molecule: ribosomal RNA, 482 nt
Filed under: uncultured bacterium
Lineage: Bacteria
Description: partial 16S ribosomal RNA
Rfam family: Bacterial small subunit ribosomal RNA
Source: RNAcentral